This 464-nucleotide ribosomal RNA is filed under the name uncultured bacterium. Its description in RNAcentral is "partial 16S ribosomal RNA". It matches the Rfam family "Bacterial small subunit ribosomal RNA", at positions 338 to 795 of the family's 1533-position model. The record is from RNAcentral.
CCUACGGGUGGCAGCAGUAGGGAAUUUUCGUCAAUGGGCGCAAGCCUGAACGAGCAAUGCCGCGUGAACGAGGAAGGUCUUCGGAUCGUAAAGUUCUGUUGACGGGGAUAAAGAGCGGAGCGAGGAAAUGGUCUCCGAUUGAUAUUACCCUUCGAGGAAGUCCCGGCUAACUACGUGCCAGCAGCCGCGGUAAUACGUAGGUGGCGAGCGUUAUCCGGAAUGAUUGGGCGUAAAGGGUGCGUAGGCGGCCUGCUAAGUCUGGAGUGAAAGGUACCGGCUCAACCGGUACAGGCUCUGGAAACUGGCGGGCUAGAGAGCAGGAGAGGGCGGUGGAACUCCAUGUGUAGCGGUAAAAUGCGUAGAUAUAUGGAAGAACACCAGUGGCGAAGGCGGCCGCCUGGCCUGUUACUGACGCUGAGGCACGAAAGCGUGGGGAGCAAAUAGGAUUAGAUACCCCUGUAGUC